RNAcentral lists this ribosomal RNA (406 nucleotides) under uncultured bacterium. Its description in RNAcentral is "partial 16S ribosomal RNA". It matches the Rfam family "Bacterial small subunit ribosomal RNA", at positions 30 to 526 of the family's 1533-position model. The record is from RNAcentral.
AUUGAACGCUGGCGGCAGGCCUAACACAUGCAAGUCGAACGAGUGGCGGACGGGUGAGUAAUGUCUGGGAAACUGCCUGAUGGAGGGGGAUAACUACUGGAAACGGUAGCUAAUACCGCAUACCAUCGGAUGUGCCCAGAUGGGAUUAGCUAGUAGGUGGGGUAAAGGCUCACCUAGGCGACGAUCCCUAGCUGGUCUGAGAGGAUGACCAGCCACACGGGGACUUAGACACGGUCCAGACGACUACGGGAGGCAGCAGUGGGGGAAAUUGCACAAGGGGCGCUGUCCUGAUGCAGCGAUGCCGCGUGUAUGGAGAAGGCCUUCAGGUUGUAAAGUACUUUCAGCGGGGAGUCGUUACCCGCAGAAGAAGCACCGGCUAACUCCGUGGCAGCAGCCGCGGUAAUUC